Molecule: long non-coding RNA, 298 nt
Filed under: Nicotiana benthamiana
Lineage: Eukaryota; Viridiplantae; Streptophyta; Magnoliopsida; Solanales; Solanaceae
Description: long non-coding RNA (NBEN_LNC008139)
Source: RNAcentral
CUGGAUCAACUUACUCAUUCUAAUAAUACUGCAAUUAAUUCUAAUAAAAACUUGUCUUUUACCAUCAAUGAGGUUUCUACAACUGUCACAGAUCUAAGAUCUUAAUCUUACAGUAUUAAACAUCAAUAGAUGGUAAAGAAGGAAAGCAAUAUCAGGUUCAUGCAAAUUGAGUAUGAUGAAUUCAAAGGUGGGAACAGAAAGCUGUCACAAAAUACUGAUAAAAAAAACAGUUAUAAAAUGUAUAAUGAUGACAAUCUCAAUAGGCUCUCACAAAAUACUGAUUAAAAAAAGAAAGCUG